This 601-nucleotide ribosomal RNA is filed under the name Halomonas sp. CSGeo0.59. RNAcentral's name for it is "bacterial SSU rRNA". It matches the Rfam family "Bacterial small subunit ribosomal RNA", at positions 61 to 659 of the family's 1533-position model. The record is from RNAcentral. Lineage: Bacteria; Pseudomonadati; Pseudomonadota; Gammaproteobacteria; Oceanospirillales; Halomonadaceae.
GUCGAGCGGUAACAGAUCUAGCUUGCUAGAUGCUGACGAGCGGCGGACGGGUGAGUAAUGCAUAGGAAUCUGCCCGGUAGUGGGGGAUAACCUGGGGAAACCCAGGCUAAUACCGCAUACGUCCUACGGGAGAAAGGGGGCUUCGGCUCCCGCUAUUGGAUGAGCCUAUGUCGGAUUAGCUAGUUGGUGAGGUAAAGGCUCACCAAGGCAACGAUCCGUAGCUGGUCUGAGAGGAUGAUCAGCCACAUCGGGACUGAGACACGGCCCGAACUCCUACGGGAGGCAGCAGUGGGGAAUAUUGGACAAUGGGGGCAACCCUGAUCCAGCCAUGCCGCGUGUGUGAAGAAGGCCCUCGGGUUGUAAAGCACUUUCAGCGAGGAAGAACGCCUAGUGGUUAAUACCCAUUAGGAAAGACAUCACUCGCAGAAGAAGCACCGGCUAACUCCGUGCCAGCAGCCGCGGUAAUACGGAGGGUGCAAGCGUUAAUCGGAAUUACUGGGCGUAAAGCGCGCGUAGGUGGCUUGAUAAGCCGGUUGUGAAAGCCCCGGGCUCAACCUGGGAACGGCAUCCGGAACUGUCAGGCUAGAGUGCAGGAGAGGAA